RNAcentral lists this long non-coding RNA (534 nucleotides) under Homo sapiens (human). Its description in RNAcentral is "long intergenic non-protein coding RNA 3002". The record is from RNAcentral. Lineage: Eukaryota; Metazoa; Chordata; Mammalia; Primates; Hominidae.
UUAAGAGUCAUCACCACUCCCUAAUCUCAAGUACCCAGGGACACAAAAACUGCGGAAGGCCGCAGGGACCUCUGCCUAGGAAAGCCAGGUUGUCUGCCAACGCUAACUGGCCAGCUCUGACAGGAGGUGCGUGGCCCAGGAGGAGCCAUCAGGCCAGUUCUCUGGGAUACUGCUGUGUCUCCAGCUCUGCAGUUUGCUCUUCGUCACUCAGCGGCAGACGGAGAGGCAGACACGAGCCCCUUGUGAGCCCUCCUCCUUACCGUCAUCUCACAAUGCUCUGAAAUAAGGAGGCAAAUGGCUGAGGUCCCCUCAGUUGUAGAUGUGAUUGAGUUCUAUCUACCAGAAGCAUAUGCCUCCUGGAAGCCUGGUUCUAACACCUCCCACAAAAUCCUUCAAGCACUUUUUUCUGUUCCAAGGUUUGCUUAUGGGGGACCCAGUGAAGUGCUUCAGAGCCCUAGAGAUUUGCUGAGUCAUAUGAGGGGUCAGCAAACUUUUCCUGUAAAGGGUCAGAUAAUAAACAUUUUAAGCUUUGUA